Molecule: ribosomal RNA, 446 nt
Filed under: uncultured bacterium
Lineage: Bacteria
Description: partial 16S ribosomal RNA
Rfam family: Bacterial small subunit ribosomal RNA
Source: RNAcentral
GUAAGGAAUAUUGGUCAAUGGGGGCAACCCUGAACCAGCCAUGCCGCGUGAAGGAUGAAGGCGUUAUGCGUUGUAAACUUCUUUUGUAUGGGAAGAAUGACAGGGAUUUAUCCUUGGAGAGACGGUACCAUACGAAUAAGUACCGGCUAACUCCGUGCCAGCAGCCGCGGUAAUACGGAGGGUGCAAGCGUUAUCCGGAAUCACUGGGUUUAAAGGGUACGUAGGCGGUUAAUUAAGUCAGUAGUGAAAGACUGUCGCUCAACGACGGAUGUGCUAUUGAUACUGGUUAACUUGAAGCAGGUUAGAGUUGGCGGAAUGGGUCAUGUAGCGGUGAAAUGCUUAGAUAUGACUUGGAACACCGAUAGCGAAGGCAGCUGACUGAGCCUUGAUUGACGCUGAGGUACGAAAGUGUGGGUAGCGAACAGGAUUAGAAACCCCUGUAGUCC